CUUGACCUCAAUCAGGUAGGACUACCCGCUGAA
This 33-nucleotide ribosomal RNA is filed under the name Xerocomellus sp. 'diffractus'. Its description in RNAcentral is "partial 28S ribosomal RNA". Lineage: Eukaryota; Fungi; Basidiomycota; Agaricomycetes; Boletales; Boletaceae. The record is from RNAcentral.